This 357-nucleotide ribosomal RNA is filed under the name uncultured bacterium. RNAcentral describes it as "bacterial SSU rRNA". It matches the Rfam family "Bacterial small subunit ribosomal RNA", at positions 1 to 352 of the family's 1533-position model. The record is from RNAcentral.
AAUUCGCCCUUAGAGUUUGAUCAUGGCUCAGGAUGAACGCUAGCGGGAGGCCUAACACAUGCAAGCCGAGCGGUAGAAGUCCUUCGGGACUUUGAGAGCGGCGUACGGGUGCGUAACANGUGUGCAACCUGCCUUUAUCUGGGGGAUAGCCUUUCGAAAGGAAGAUUAAUACCCCAUAAUAUAAUGAUUGGCAUCAAUUAUUAUUGAAAACUCCGGUGGAUAGAGAUGGGCACGCGCNAGAUUAGAUNGUUGGUGAGGUAACGGCUCACCAAGUCCGAUGAUCUUUAGGGGUCCUGAGAGGGNAGAUCCCCCACACUGGGUACUGAGACACGGACNCAGACUCCUACGGGACGCAGC